GAUGAACGCUAGCGGCAGGCCUAAUACAUGCAAGCCGAACGGCAAGAUUUUCAGCAAUGGAAAUCCUAGAGUGGCGUAAGGGUGCGUAACACGUAUGCAAUCUGCCCUCAACAGGAGGAUAGCUCCCCGAAAGGGGAAUUAAGACUCCAUAAGAUCUUAGAGUGGCAUCACUUAGAGAUUAAACUACCAGGGGUUGAGGAUGAGCAUGCGCAUGAUUAGUUAGUUGGCGGGGUAACGGCCCACCAAGACGAUGAUCAUUAGGGGAACUGAGAGG
This 274-nucleotide ribosomal RNA is filed under the name uncultured bacterium. RNAcentral's name for it is "partial 16S ribosomal RNA". It matches the Rfam family "Bacterial small subunit ribosomal RNA", at positions 28 to 299 of the family's 1533-position model. The record is from RNAcentral.